AGAGUUUGAUCCUGGCUCAGAACGAACGCUGGCGGCACGCCUAACACAUGCAAGUCGAACGGAAUUUAAGUCUUCGGAUUUAAAUUUAGUGGCGGACGGGUGAGUAACGCGUGGGAACCUGCCUUUAGGUUCGGAAUAACUCAGAGAAAUUUGAGCUAAUACCGGAUAAUGUCUUCGGACCAAAGAUUUAUCGCCUUUAGAUGGGCCCGCGUUGGAUUAGCUAGUUGGUGGGGUAAAGGCCUAUCAAGGCGACGAUCCAUAGCUGGUCUGAGAGGAUGAUCAGCCACACUGGGACUGAGACACGGCCCAGACUCCUACGGGAGGCAGCAGUGGGGAAUAUUGGACAAUGGGCGAAAGCCUGAUCCAGCAAUGCCGCGUGAGUGAUGAAGGCCUUAGGGUUGUAAAGCUCUUUUACCCGAGAUGAUAAUGACAGUAUCGGGAGAAUAAGCUCCGGCUAACUCCGUG
This 465-nucleotide ribosomal RNA is filed under the name uncultured bacterium. Its description in RNAcentral is "bacterial SSU rRNA". It matches the Rfam family "Bacterial small subunit ribosomal RNA", at positions 8 to 507 of the family's 1533-position model. The record is from RNAcentral.